Molecule: non-coding RNA, 355 nt
Organism: Coturnix japonica (Japanese quail)
Lineage: Eukaryota; Metazoa; Chordata; Aves; Galliformes; Phasianidae
Source: RefSeq, a predicted model, not a curated record
CGCAGUUCAAGGGCUGUUCCUCUGUACCAGGUCUGCUGCAAGAAGCAUCUCACGAGCCUUCAGGACCCAGGUAGAAGUCAGCAAGGAAGAGCAUCCUACCCAACACCAGCACACUGUUCUUCAGUGGGGAACUGCUCCUGUCAGAACAGUCACCAACAUCCACUACUUUGUUUAGAUGCUCUGCUUUGGAAAUGAGAGCCAGCACCACAGCAUGUGGGCAGAUGAUUCUGGGCAUCUUUCUCAUGAUUCUGCAGAAGUUCAGUAGUUUCUUUGGUCAUCAUCCCACUGAAACAAGGCACAACAGUGAACGCUGAGCCAUCUUCCAGAUAACAAGGCCCUGUCUGUACUCAAAUUG